This 695-nucleotide long non-coding RNA is filed under the name Helianthus annuus (common sunflower). Lineage: Eukaryota; Viridiplantae; Streptophyta; Magnoliopsida; Asterales; Asteraceae. The record is from RNAcentral.
UCACAUAAACCCUAGGUCAUGAAUUGUAGGUCCGUUUGCGAAUCGCCGGACAACUACGAGAACUUGUUUAUAAUACCGUAACGAGCGCGGAAUCCACGUUACGAUACAAACCGAGUGAGAGAGUGAACAAGACGUAAAGAUAUCAACGAUUAACAAUUACGUUUAUUGAUUUCGACAAAGUUUCGGUACAAUAUUCGACAAAUACAAGGCUCACCGGAACUUUCUCUCUCUACACUCUCUCUCUAGCUUAUCCGGACUCACUGUUUCUGUCUCAGCUUGCUGUAUAUAUAGUACUGACAUCGAAGAAUCAGAACAGGACUCAACGAAAACAAGACAGGAACGACGAAACAAGAUAGGUCGACGAAACACAAUAACAUUCGACGAAACACUUCUUGUUUUGUCGACCCAUAAGAUGUUUAGUGGGGUUCGGCCCAGUUGAUGUGUUUCGGCCCAAAGAGCAUUCUGAUUGGCCCAAACUCAUGCACGUAUAUGAAUUUCAAACAUGCAGAUUUCAAAGUUGUUACAUCAUCAUGACAUCAUCAUGAUGAUGUCAUGAUGAUGUGUCAAGCGGGAAACGUUCUCGGCUCUCCGUGCUUCGCGUGUCGAACUCUGGGACGCACGACGGAGGAAUGUCGUGACGUCGGGCUUGAGCCGGACCUAACCGUGUCGAAACUGAGCCGAGUUGAAUCGAACCG